UACGUAGGGGGCAAGCGUUAUCCGGAUUUACUGGGUGUAAAGGGGGCGCAGACGGCGCGGCAAGUCCGGAGUGAAAUCCCAGGGCCCAACCCUGGGGCUGCUCUGGAAACUGCCGGGCUGGAGUGCUGGAGGGGCAGGCGGAAUUCCUAGUGUAGCGGUGAAAUGCGUAGAUAUUAGGAGGAACACCGGUGGCGAAGGCGGCCUGCUGGACAGCGACUGACGUUGAGGCCCGAAAGCGUGGGGAGCAAACAGG
RNAcentral lists this ribosomal RNA (253 nucleotides) under uncultured bacterium. RNAcentral's name for it is "partial 16S ribosomal RNA". It matches the Rfam family "Bacterial small subunit ribosomal RNA", at positions 524 to 776 of the family's 1533-position model. The record is from RNAcentral.